This 1726-nucleotide long non-coding RNA is filed under the name Sus scrofa (pig). RNAcentral describes it as "lncRNA (ENSSSCG00000055842.1)". Lineage: Eukaryota; Metazoa; Chordata; Mammalia; Artiodactyla; Suidae. The record is from RNAcentral.
UCUAAUCGGAGCUGUAGCUGCCGGCCUAAGCCAGAGCCACAGCAACUCGGGAUCCCAGCCACGUCUGCGACCUAUACCACAGCUCACAGCAACGCCGGAUCCUUAACCCACUGAGCAAGGCCAGGGAUCGAACCCGCCACCUCAUGGUUCCUAGUCGGAUUCGUUAACCACUGCACCACGACGGGAACUCCCUAAAUCUAAUACUUGAUGACAUUCACUCAUAAUUCUAGGAACUUGAUCAGCUGCCAUCACGUACAAUCACCAGUUCUUUAAAUCUGCUUUUUAAAAAUGCCUAGUCAUCAGGCCUAACAGUCAUCUGUCCAAUGGCCCAUCCAACGGCUGAACCUUGGUCAUUCAAGACAAGUAUUAACCUACCAAGGGAAAGAUCUCUGAAGUCAGAGAAAUCUGGACUCCACUGGCUCCCCUACUCACUACAGAAUGGCUUCAUCUUAGGCUGAUGACAAUCUCUCUGUACCUCAAUUUCCUCACUUAAAACAUGGAGAUCAUUAUUUCCUCUUCGUAAAGUUCAGGCAGACUCUCACGACUUUCUAUCACGUUCCAUGAACUGGGCUGGCCAAUCUUACCACUCAAAACAAAAAGCCUAGGCUCUCACUCAGUCCACCGCUCUAAAACUUGCUGGUGCUAACAGAUUUUGCAACUUCUCUUUCUUGCUACAUUGUUCCUAUCUGUGAAAUGGAAAGAACAAUAGGACCUGUGGCAUAAGGGCUUUGGGCAGGAUGACACAAGUUCCCGUGUAAAUAGGUCGGGCCGUGCCUGGCACAUAGGACACACUCCACAGACAUGAGCUAUGUAUGGUGACCAGCUCCCCUCCUUUCUUACACCUUACUUUGGGAAAACAUGACUCCUGGACCCCAAAUUGCACACAUUGUUGUGGCCAAACACCAGAACUCAUCCCCGCCACAUCAGAAAGUGCCUAAAAGGCUCCCCGGGAAAUUGGGUCUUCCUGCCAACCCCACCUGUAACUUCUGGUGGAAGGCCUGGCCCACGACUCAUACUUCUCCUGUCUGGAAUGACAGCCACGUUCUCCCCAACCUGUGACUCGUGUCCUUGGCUGCAUCCUGAUCCUAACACAAAGGAGUUGGUGCAGGGUCUUGACCUUCCAUCGGAGCCUACAUAGAAGUUUAGUAAGAAGUCAUGACCCCCAAAGAAAAGUUUCUAGAUCCACCGCCAAGAGAGAGCAUGCUCCCUUCUGUGGGAUUUGAAGCAGAUGUCAGCAUUAGAGACCCUCCCUGCCUGCCACGCUACUGGCUUCCGAGAUGCUUUUCUGACACCAGCCUUCCUGCUGCUUCCCUCAACCUUCUUCCAUAUUUACCUCUUUAUCUGAGUCCUAGGCAGGUUGACGCAGACCCUUUGUGAGAAUUACGAAAUGCACCUGCAGUCUGGAUGGCAGGGUAGGGGGUGAGGGAGAUGCUUGAUGAGCUAAUGGCACCGCUGAGACUUAGAAAAAGGCAUCCCCUCAUGACAGGCUGGUAACCCUGUACCAGAGCUACCAUCGUUAGCUUCCACUGUUGAAGUCAAGUCAGGGAGGAGGAAACUUGUGAGCUGCAGUGUAGGUCGCAGAUGCAGCUCAGAUCUGGCAUUGCCGUGGCUGUAGUGAAGGCCAGUGGCUGUGGCUCCAAUUCAACCCCUAGCCUGGGAAUUCUCUUAUGUUGUGGGUGAGAUCCUUAAAAAAGACAAAAAAAAAAAAAAAAAAAAAAAAAAAAAA